CCCAUCACUCCCCCAGACUCCCAGCCCCAUCACUCCCCCAGACUCCCAGCCCCAUCACUCGCACAUGUAUGCUUUUCUUCAUACCUGUAUCUCUUACUUCCUCAGAAACGCUCAGAACACAUACCCACACCCUCCUCACAAUGCCUGACUUACCUUCAGACAGCAAUGUUUCGGGGUCUACUCCAUUGCCCAUCUUCCAAAGAAACCCGGCUGCUGACCUUAGAAAGAUGCGGCGGGUCAUCACUGAGGACUUCAGCUGGACGUUGGCCUUGGUACCCCCACUCAGCGAGCUCUGUCUACAGCAGAUUGUCAGUAACUUUGAGAGUAAGUAG
Molecule: non-coding RNA, 332 nt
Organism: Pelobates cultripes (western spadefoot toad)
Lineage: Eukaryota; Metazoa; Chordata; Amphibia; Anura; Pelobatidae
Source: the annotation of a GenBank genome assembly